RNAcentral lists this long non-coding RNA (616 nucleotides) under Nicotiana tabacum (common tobacco). RNAcentral's name for it is "long non-coding RNA (NTAB_LNC006641)". Lineage: Eukaryota; Viridiplantae; Streptophyta; Magnoliopsida; Solanales; Solanaceae. The record is from RNAcentral.
GGACUGCGGAAUGGUAUUCUGAGAGAUGCCCCUGCAUAUUUAUUUUGGGACUACGGAACGGUAUUCUGGGAGAUCGCCCUGCAUAUUUACUUUGGGACUACGGGACGGUAUCCUGAAAGAUCCCCUUGCAUAUUUACUUUGGGACUGCGAGACGGUAUCCUCGGGAACCCCCUACACAUUUACUUUUUAGGACUAUGAGAUGGUAUCUAAUCCCCUGUUGUUAUUUCUGUACACUGUACUGUUAUGUUUCUGUGAUUCCCUUCUUAUUAAAUUUCAGUCUUUUUUUAAUACUGCGAUAGUUUGUUCUGCCUUAUUUUAUAUACAUAUACCAGUAGGGCCCUGACUUGACCUCGUCACUACGCGACCAAGGUUAGUCUUGGCACUUACUGGGUACCGUUAUAGUGUAUUCAUGUUACUCUUCUGCACAUGUUUUGGUGUGCAGAUCUAGGUACCUCCUACCAGUCUCGUUUUUAGUUGCAUUGUUGCUGCUGCUUCGGAGACUUCAACGUACAUCUGCCCACGUUCGCAGACCUUGAUUCACCCUCUAUCUCUUUUAUUUUUUUUCUUUAUUACUUUUUCUAGAUACUGAUGUACAGAAUAGUUAGACAAAUCCUAG